GACAGAGGGUGCAAACGUUGUUCGGAAUUACUGGGCGUAAAGCGCGUGUAGGCUGCUUCAUAAGUCGGGUGUGAAAGCCCUGGGCUCAACCUAGGAAGUGCACUCGAAACUGCGAAGCUUGAGUCCUGGAGAGGAAGGCGGAAUUCUCGGUGUAGAGGUGAAAUUCGUAGAUAUCGAGAGGAACACCGGUGGCGAAGGCGGCCUUCUGGACAGUGACUGACGCUGAGACGCGAAAGCCAGGGGAGCGAACGGG
RNAcentral lists this ribosomal RNA (253 nucleotides) under uncultured bacterium. RNAcentral's name for it is "partial 16S ribosomal RNA". It matches the Rfam family "Bacterial small subunit ribosomal RNA", at positions 524 to 776 of the family's 1533-position model. The record is from RNAcentral.